RNAcentral lists this ribosomal RNA (403 nucleotides) under bacterium. RNAcentral describes it as "partial 16S ribosomal RNA". It matches the Rfam family "Bacterial small subunit ribosomal RNA", at positions 355 to 776 of the family's 1533-position model. The record is from RNAcentral.
UGGGGUAUAUUGCACAAUGGGGGAAACCCUGAUGCAGCGACGCCGCGUGAACGAAGAAGGUAUUCGUAUCGUAAAGUUCUGUCCUAUGGGAAGAUACUGACAGUACCAUAGAAGAAAGCUCCGGCUAAAUACGUGCCAGCAGCCGCGGUAAUACGUAUGGAGCGAGCGUUGUCCGGAAUUAUUGGGCGUAAAGGGUACGCAGGCGGUUUAAUAAGUCGAAUGUUAAAGAUCGGGGCUCAACCCCGCAAAGCAUUGGAAACUGAUAAACUGGAGUAGUGGAGAGGAAAGUGGAAUUCCUAGUGUAGUGGUGAAAUACGUAGAUAUUAGGAGGAAUACCAGUAGCGAAAGCGACUUUCUGGACACAAACUGACGCUGAGGUACGAAAGCGUGGGGGGCAAACAGG